GUCAAAGGGCAUCAAAGAUUUUGGUCCGAAAGAUAUUGGUAAUCUCUUCCGACGAAACCUGUCGUCGAUUUUUUUUGUUUCCAGAGAAAACUGCAGAAGGUCUUAGGUGAAAUUCAUAGUAAGAAGUUGAAAUCCAUCAAAAUCCAUCAAAGUUUUUGGUUCUGAUCGGUGGUUCAACUCUGAUGGAAAGACGGCCUCGAAUCAGUUGUUUCCCACUGCACCUUUAAGUAAAAACACGUGUCUAGUACGUGUCUCAUUGUAAACUUAGGUUCUUGCUUUGCUGUAUCACUUGUAUAGGUUUAUGUUUGGGCUUUUAUUUUGGACUAUUGAGCUCCGUUCAUUCACUUGUAAUCUGCCUUUGUUGGGUAUUUAAAGAAUAAAUGGUUAAUA
Long non-coding RNA from Capsella rubella, 390 nucleotides. RefSeq lists it as uncharacterized. The record is from RefSeq and is a predicted model, not a curated record. The transcript has 2 exons. NCBI's taxonomy places the organism in Eukaryota, Viridiplantae, Streptophyta, Magnoliopsida, Brassicales, Brassicaceae.